AACUUGGUGAACUGCUUCAACUGGGAGCUCCCAACUGGCAUGUUGCCUAAAGACUUGGACAUGACUGAAAAGUUCGGCUUAUCGUUGUCGAAAGCCAAACACUUGCUUGCCAUGCCGACGCACCGCCUAUAAAAUCGACCUUCACACACAAACACACAGAUGGUGUGUCUAGGCAUAAAUAAACACACACACACACACACACAGAUGGUGUGUCCAGGCAUAAAUAAACAGUACUUAACUGUAUACUUUGGAUUUUAAUUUUUAGUCAAUAUGGAACUUUAUUAAGACAAGAAAAUGUUACAGAAACAAAAAUAUUACCCAAUAAUUUGAAUUGAUGAAAGUGGCUUAUAACUUAGUUGGUUAAUUAAGAGCAUUCACUUUGCACUCGAGGUUAAAUGUUUGAAUUCCCCUUCCUAAGUUCAAUAUAGAUUGUCCUAUCCUUUUAAAAAGUUAAUAAUAAUUUGGACUGGUAUUGGAUAUAACCUUCCUACUAAAAGAAAGCACACAACACAGUUCUACCGUUCCAAGUAUAAAAGUUUCCUAAAGAAAAUAAAGCAACUUUCAGCAUUACCUAAGAGCAACUCCAGCGUAUCAAGCUCCCCUAGGGUAACUUCCUAUUGAAUAGCUUACAGUGAACAGUAACUGUAUUUAAUGAACAGUAAUUGCCUUUUGCAUCUCCACCCCUAAACUGAAUAGCUAUGACAAUAUGCAAUAAAAAAUUAAUAUUUUUUAUUUUAUAAAAUAAUAAAAAAUAAUUUUAUUUCAAAUUUCGGAUAUGAUUUUUAAUUAGUCUCGUUGUACUACAUUUCAUUAAAUAAGAAAUUACAACCCAAAGUAUUUGAGAAAAUAUAAAAUUAUGGUGUAAGAUGGAAGAUAAUGAUAAGAUAUUUAUAAAAAAAUAAAAUCUUUUUUUUUUAAUUUUUUUCAGAUUUUUUAUUAAUUGUUUACAUUUUUUAUAAAAUUUUUAUUAAUUUUUAAUUUUAUUAAUUUUAUAAUGUGGCUGACGUUAACUAUGCAUCAUUUGGCCUCAAGCUCUCGAGCUACCAAUUACAGUCGGGCCUCCAAUUGGAGCCGAGCUUCUCACUUGGGCCCCCCCUCGACCCACACGCCCACAUGGGUUGGAGCAAGCAGCUCGGGCUAUUGGGUAGAAAAAAUCAAAGGUCCAUCGAGCUAUUGGUCCCGGUGGAGACGCCUAAAACAAAAGGAGGCCUGAAGUAAAAGUUUCAUAAUGAAGUUUAUGCAUCAGAGAACUUUAGACUUAUUAUUAUAAAUGUAUUGCCAAAACACUACCAAUGCACUAUUUCAGCGUUACAUGUUACUGCUAAAACACUACAAAUGCCCUUCAAAGGUACUAACCAAAUAAUUUCUAAAUACAAUCAUUUCAAGGUGUCAUUUGAAAAGUUCUUCAAAUAUAUUACAUUUAGGCUUAUUUUUAGCCAUGUUUUUUUAAACUUCAUUUUAAUCUCAUUUUGCUUCUUGUAAUUAAAAAAUUGUCACUUUACUCCAUGAAACUCAUAAUUCGCUCUAGUUUAUACAUAAUCAUUGUUAAUUUCAACUAACGAAGAUUAAUUAACUAUCAAAUCUCGUAUCCAAUAGAAUGUUGGGUAUGCCACUUAGUACUACAGUCUAGUGGUAUUUAUCUUUACUUGUAAGUGAGAGGUCUUAGGUUUGAUUCUCGCUAAAUGUUACAUCCCACAUCGCUCAGGGGAGUGGAUCCUCUAAGCCUUAUAUGUAUAUUCUCAUCUCUACCUAGCACGAGGCCUUUUGGGAACUCACUGGCUUCGGGUUCCAUCAGAACUCCGAAGUUAAGCGAGAUCGUGAGAGAGCAAUCUCAUGAUGGGUGACCCACUGAGAAGUUAUCGUGUGAGUUCCCAGAAACAAAAUCGUGAGGGCGUGAUGGGGCCUAAAGCGGACAAUAUCGUGCUACGGCGGAGUUGUGCUCAGGAUGUAGUAGGGGCUCGGGUUGGGAUGUGACACUAAAGGUUAAUUUGAAUCAUAUUAUUGCUAGCUAUUAUGAGGCUAAGCCCAUCCCUUCCUCUUAGUGUAGAUAAUAUCGUUUGUUCAAAAGAAAAAAAAAAAUGUUGAGUAUCCUAUCCAAUUUUUUUAGGGGUGCAGAUAUUUUUAUAAUUGCAAACAUUUAUUUUAUAGCAUAUACAAUUGUUUCUACAAAAUAACUAAUGUAAUUAAACAUUAUGUAGAUUAAUCUUUAGUUGCAUCUUAUUUCAUUUGCUUGGGCCAUGAGGUAAAUCAAUCAUUUGUCUUAGGGGGGUCUGAAUUUAAACCUCUCAUACCUGCCAAAAGACUCAUGCCUAAUGCGAAAUUCCGUCCUUGAGUUUUAUUAUUUACGGCGUAGAAUAUUUUUCAAAAAGUGUAAAAAAAUGAAAAUACUUUUAAUGUGCUAAACGGGAUUUUACAUGAACGUAUUUGAUCAUUUCAUGUUUUUCUGCAUUUCUUAACAUAUUUAAAUAAUACAUGUCGCUACCAAUGAUGGGUGGUUCAAGUGAUAAGGAGCUUGUUCCUCUUAAACAAAAUCUUAAGUUUGAACUUUAAGAAUAAAGAAGCCAAUAAUAGAAGAGCUUGCCUCGAAUAGGAUCCAAUCUGGGUCGAGGGAUUAGUCCCACCUCGUGCGGGGAUGCCUGAAUUCAUCCAAUGAAAAAUAAUACGGAUCGCUAACGAAAAACAAAACUUGAAACGCCAAGGGUAUUUCGUCAUUUUCCAUUUAUUGGAAACACAUGCGGCCUUAUUUUGUGUGCCACGUGAGAACCACCCCACUUUUUGGAAAACUCUCUAUAGGCCAAGCUUUGGAAACACAUGCGGACAUAAAACGGGAGUUUACGUUAUGAAGAUUAAUCGCCAUAAUUGCAAAAAUUUAUUUUAUAGCAUAUACAAUUGUGUCCACAAAAUAACUAAUAUAAUUAAACAUUAUGAAGAUUAAUCGCCAUGUGGUAAAUCAAUCAUUUGUCUUGGUGGGUUUGAAUUUAAUCCUCUCAUGCCUACCAAAACAUUCAUGCCUAAUGUGAAAUCCUAUCCUUGAAUUUUAUUAUUUACGGAGUAAAUUUUUUUCAAAAGGUGUAAAAGGACGAAAAUGCUUCUAUUGUGCUCAACGGGAGUUUACGUUAAUGUAUUUCAUCAUUUCAUGUUUUUCCACAUUUCUCAGCAUAUUUAAAUGAGAAUUUUAACAAAAAACUCCCGGUACUGUUCAUUUUAACGAAAAACCAUAUUUUUACACUAAAAAGUCAAUCUUGAAACUAUUCACUUUACCCUUUAUUUUGUCAUUUUCGUUAAAACUCAAAGUUUUCAAAUCUUUUUCAUUAGUUUUCCUUAUUUAAAUAAUACGUGUCGCUAUGAAGGCGUAUCGCAAUCUAAAAGUAACUCAAAGCUAUAACAAAACUUGAAAUUUCGUCAUUUUACAUUUAUUGGAAGCACAUUUGGUUAUGGAAAACUCUCUCUCGGUCAAUCUCUUCCCGUCUAUCAUCUCUCACAUUUUCUCUCUACCCCUCUCUUUGUCCAAACAAAAAGUCCACCACACCAUUUUCUGACGAAUUUCUUACACCAAAAUCACCAUAUUUGUGAUCGUCUCACUCCCACAAACCCAGUGAUGGGUUUUGUUUCAUGAAAAACCGAAGAAAAACGGAGGUUCUGGAGCUUCGAAACGGACCGACACCAUCCUAGCCAAUUCCUGCCAGGGUGAGACCUCUAACCACCAUAUUUGGAUUACUCUCGUUGAAUAGAUGAAUUUUCAUAUAUGGAUCGUGGAAUUUAGUUAAGAACUGAGUGAGAUAUGAGCGUUUAAAUUUCUCCUCUGCAGAGUGCAGACGCACAAACCAAACCCAAGGGCGCCAACUGCACUACAUUUACGUUCAACAGUAGCACAAUAUUGAAUCCAUAUCCAUCAAUUUCAGUCAACUUUCGUACUACCAUUCGUCAUUAAGUUACUUCAACAAACUUUAUAAAGAUUGCACGUAGCUACUUAGGCACGAAGGAAUCUGGUGAGUUUCACUCUCACUCUUAACAGUUUAAUUAGUUUAAAGUUGAAAUAUUGCUUAUAUAAAAUAAGAGAAUUGUUAUUGGUAUUCAAAAAAUCUUAUUUUGCAUGCCAAAUUUUCUAUAAAUAAAAAGAAAAAUAUACUUGUAAGAAACGCGAAAUGAGAUUUUAUUACUGCUAUUAACAAUUCCGUAAAAAUUUUUUGUAACUUUGAUUUUUUCUGUUGGUAAAAUUUUGUUUUGCUUGUACUAGGGUAAAGUACCCAUUUUCACAUACAUGAUUGGACUCCAUUUGGUAAUAUUUUAAUCAGCCGUUGGAUCAUGAAUCAUUCUCUAUAAGUAUCCAACUAUAUGAGUCUAUGUCCAAACGUCCCAUUUCUCGAUCUCACCCAGAAAUCAAGAAAAAAAUGAGUCCUUCAGAAAUAACCAUCCUAAUCCUUGUCUUCCUUACCUUCUUAUGGUCUCUUCUCCGCAUCCUAAUCAACGCCUCCUCAAGGCAAAGCCAAAAACUGCCUCCUGGCCCUAUGGCUCUGCCAAUCAUUGGCAAUCUUCAUAUGCUAGGCAACCUCCCACACCGCAGCCUCCAGAACCUAGCCAAAAAGUACGGACCCAUAAUGUCCAUGCGCCUAGGAAGCAAAACCACCAUAGUAGUCUCAUCCCCCAAAGCCGCUGAGUUAUUCCUUAAAACCCAUGACACCAUUUUCGCUAGCCGCCCCCAAGUCCAAGCCUCCAAGUACAUGUCGUACGACACGAAGGCCAUGGCCUUUUCUGAAUAUGGUCCAUAUUGGCGCCAUGUUCGAAAGCUCUGCACGCUUCAACUUCUUUCUCCUUUGAGAAUCGAGGCUUUCGCUCCGCUGAGAAGGGAGGAGGUAGGGUUGUUGGUGCAGUCCCUAAAGGUAGCCGCAGAGGCGGGUGAGGUGGUAGAUCUUAGUGAGAAAGUCGGUGAGCUUGUUGUGGGAAUCACGUACAGGAUGGUGUUGGGGAGGAAAAAUAAUGAUAUGUUUGAUCUCAAGGGGAUUAUAGAGGAGGUCAUGUUCUUGUCAGGAGCUUUCAACAUGGGUGAUUAUGUGCCUUUCCUUGUUCCACUUGAUGUUCAGGUAUGUUACCCUUCAUCCUUAAUUACCAAAAAUGUUACAUGCAUGAAUCAACAAUAAAACUAGAGAAAUGCUAGCAAGAUCAUAAAAUAGAAACAUUUAGAAUCACUGCUUGCACGUUACUGAUCCUGAAAUGCUAAAGAACAAACAAAAGACGUUUGAAAUAAGUAAAUGCAAGUAUGAGCAAUUGAGCUUAACACUGUCCUCAUGAAAAAAUUUAGAUGGAUGGUACAUUAACAGGAACAGAAGUAGUGUCAACAAAGUAAAGUGAACAAGGUGAAUCCAUAGUUUAGUGGAUUAGCUGUUUACGUUGGCCGGCUGGUUUUCAUCGUCUGUUUGUUGGUGACAUGAUUCACAAGUCGCAUCCACAAACUGCUAAAAAAGAGAUCAUAUCGUACACGUAUGGUCCAUUUCCAUAGGCUGCAAACAUUGAUAUUAUCACCGCUGAUGGCGGUGACACUGACACGGUUUCUUAUCUUAUGCUUAAUUUGGCUCCAUUGUCAAGUUUAAUUUGUCGACCGAAAAAGCGGGCAAGACGUAUUCAAUGCCGGCCGGGAUGUUCUAUUACAAUUAAUUAUUUUAGGAACCUUAAUUUUUGGCAGGCAACUGUAUACAAAUUAUAUGGUUGUUUUCUUUUAUCCUUCUUGGAAGACGUAAUAUUAAUAAGGAUUUUACCAUUAAAAGAGUCCCUUACAAAAAUUCAAAAAAUAAAAUGCCGGUAAUGAGUAGAUACAGAUUCUGAGGUUUAUAAUUAGUCAUGUUAGGGAGACUAAAUUUAUAGAUAAAAUUUGUAAAUAAAAUGAUGUGUUACAAAUAGAGAUGAGUACGUCGUUUAUCAAUGUUUAAGUAAUAAUCCAAUGAUCAACUUCUAUGUAUUUUAGUUUCCACAAUUUUGCUUACAAAUUUAGUCUCUCAAGCAUUAACCAUAUAACAAUAAUGUUAUUGAAAUUAAACUCAACUUACUUGAUUAUUAUAUAUAUGUAUGAAUCAAACUAACCAUAACCAAUGUGAAAAGCCUUUGUAUUAGAUAAUGCUAGGUAGUCCAAAUUUUAAACAAAAUUUUAUAAGUCAUAUGACGUAGUUGUUGAUAAUUGAAUUAUUACUUAAAUGUUGAUUAACGUACUUAUUUCAUAUUGAUGACACGUCAUAUGGUAUGCAAAUUUAGUCUCAAAACUUUGUUUACUUACCAUUAUUCUUUUUGUAGUAAGGGUUGGCACGUGAUCCCGUGUAAGAUUGCCGCCAUGUGACCAUCCUCACCCAAAAGUUACUCCUAAAUUACAAGAUGUAAAAGAUUUUAUAUAUGCAUGCAUGUCUUGAUGACCAUUACAUUGCCUAGAUUAAAAUAGCGAUAGCUAUAGAGUACUCAAGUAGAAGACUAGUACAUAUAUUGAUUGGAUUGCAUGGAAUCUUAACUACUUCCUCUUAGGGAUUGACCAAGCGCAUGAAGAGAAUUAGCAAGACUGUGGACCAACUAUUCGAAAAGAUAAUUCAGGAUCAUGAACAAGUUUCUAGAAGUGAGCAAGUACAAGGCAAUCAUCAUAAGGACUUUGUAGACGUGCUGCUUUCAUUAAUCCACCAACCAUUAAACCCCAACGAUGAGGAAGUAUACAUGUUCGAACGAACAAAUGCCAAAGCCAUUUUACUCGAUAUGAUUUCUGGUUCCUUUGACACUUCAGCCACGGCAAUCGUCUGGACCCUGGCCGAACUCUUGAGGCACCCGGAAGUUAUGAAACGUCUCCAAAAAGAGCUCCAAAGUGUGGUCGGGAUGGAUCGAAUGGUUGAAGAAAGUGAUUUGCCAAAGCUGGAUUACUUGAGCAUGGUGGUCAAGGAGAGCUUCAGGCUACACCCUGUUGGACCAUUACUUAUCCCUCAUCAAUCCAUGGAGGACGUUAUAGUUGAUGGAUAUCACAUACCCAAGAAAUCAAGAGUCUUCAUCAAUAUUUGGACCAUUGGGAGAGAUCCAAAUGUAUGGUCAGAUAAUGUGGAAGAAUUCUACCCUGAAAGGUUUAUGAAUAGUAACGUUGACUUGGACAGGACUUCCAGCUCAUACCAUUUGGGUCUGGUCGAAGAGGGUGCCCUGCUAUGCAGUUAGGGUUGACCACAGUUCGUCUAGCUCUGGGAAACUUGGUGCACUGCUUCAACUGGGAGCUCCCAACUGGCAUGCUGCCUAAAGACUUGGACAUGACUGAAAAGUUCGGCUUAUCGUUGUCGAAAGCCAAACACUUGCUUGCCAUGCCGACGCACCGCCUAUAAAAUCGACCUUCACACACACACACAGAUGGUGUGUCUAGGCAUAAAUAAACACACACACACACACACCCACACACACAGAGAUGGUGUGUAUAGGCAUAAAUAAACAGUACUUAACUGUAUACUUUGGAUUUUAAUUUUUAGUCAAUUUGGAACU
Molecule: long non-coding RNA, 7485 nt
Filed under: Malus domestica (apple)
Lineage: Eukaryota; Viridiplantae; Streptophyta; Magnoliopsida; Rosales; Rosaceae
Description: long non-coding RNA (MDOM_LNC014369)
Source: RNAcentral